CGCUGUAUUGUGKCAGCCGCCGCGGUAAUACGGAGGGGGCGAGCGUUGUUCGGAGUCACUGGGCGUAAAGCGCACGUAGGCGGAGUGGUAAGUUCAGGGUCAAAGGGUCCGGCUCAACGGUAGUAAGACGUUAGAUACUAUCAUGCUAGAGUCCCGGAGAGGGUAGCGGAAUUCCCUGUGUAGCGGUGAAAUGCGUAGAUAUAGGGAGGAACNCCGGUUGCGAAGGCGGCUACCUGGCCGGUAACUGACGGUGAGGUGCGAGAGCGUGGGGAGCAAACAGGAUUAGAUACCCGGGUAGUCCUCGCUGUAAACGAUGGUCGCUAGGUGUUGGGGGUGAUGAGCCAUCAGUGCCGAAGCUAACGCGUUAAGCGCCGCCGCCUGAGGAGUACAGC
RNAcentral lists this ribosomal RNA (392 nucleotides) under bacterium enrichment culture DGGE band DS17. RNAcentral's name for it is "bacterial SSU rRNA". It matches the Rfam family "Bacterial small subunit ribosomal RNA", at positions 494 to 886 of the family's 1533-position model. The record is from RNAcentral.